Molecule: ribosomal RNA, 492 nt
Filed under: uncultured bacterium
Lineage: Bacteria
Description: partial 16S ribosomal RNA
Rfam family: Bacterial small subunit ribosomal RNA
Source: RNAcentral
AGUGAACGCUGGCGGUAGGCCUAACACAUGCAAGUCGAACGGCAGCACAGUAAGAGCUUGCUCUUACGGGUGUCGAGUGGCGGACGGGUGAGGAAUACAUCGGAAUCUACUUUUUCGUGGGGGAUAACGUAGGGAAACUUACGCUAAUACCGCAUACGACCUACGGGUGAAAGCAGGGGAUCUUCGGACCUUGCGCGAUUGAAUGAGCCGAUGUCGGAUUAGCUAGUUGGCGGGGUAAGGGCCCACCAAGGCGACGAUCCGUAGCUGGUCUGAGAGGAUGAUCAGCCACACUGGAACUGAGACACGGUCCAGACUCCUACGGGAGGCAGCAGUGGGGAAUAUUGGACAAUGGGCGCAAGCCUGAUCCAGCCAUACCGCGUGGGUGAAGAAGGCCUUCGGGUUGUAAAGCCCUUUUGUUGGGAAAGAAAAGCAGCAGGUUAAUACCCCGCUGUUCUGACGGUACCCAAAGAAUAAGCACCGGCUAACUUCGUG